UAAAGUAAGUAAGGGCAGACGGCGGAUGCCUUGGCUCUAAGAGGCGAUGAAGGACGUGACAAGCUGCGAUAAGCUGUGGGGAUUGGCACAUACGACGUGAUCCACAGAUUUCCGAAUGGGGCAACCCAGUAGGUUUAACAGCCUACUACAUGCUAUGCAUGAGCAAACGUGGGGAACUGAAACAUCUAAGUACCCAUAGGAGAAGAGAACAAUUUAGUGAUUCCCUUAGUAGUGGCGAUCGAACGGGGACGAGCCCAAACCAUUCUUGUUUCGGCAAGAGUGGGGUUGUAGGACUACAACAUGUUACAGGCGGUAACGAGCAGAAGUGAGCUGGAAAGCUCCACCAUAGAGGGUGAUAGUCCCUUAUGCGAAGUGAAGGCUUGGCUAGUAGUAUCCUGAGUAGUGCGGGACACGUGCAAUCCUGUACGAAUCUGGGGGGUCCAUCCCCCAAGGCUAAAUACUCCUUAGAGACCGAUAGUGAGUUAUAUAUAGUAGACGCGAAACCAAGUGAUCUACCCUUGACCAGGUUGAAGUUCAGGUAACACUGAAUGGAGGACCGCACGGCAGAAUGUUGAAAAAUUCCCCGAUGAGUUGAGGGUAGGGGUGAAAGGCUAAUCAAACUUGGAAAUAGCUCGUACUCCCCGAAAUGCAUUUAGGUGCAGCCUUAGAGUUUAAAUAUAAGAGGUAGAGCGACUGAUUGGAUGCGAGGGCUUCGCCGCCUAUCAAGUCCAGACAAACUCCGAAUGCUUAUAUGUACACUCUAGGAGUGAGGGCAUGGGUGCUAAGGUCCAUGUCCGAGAGGAGAAGAAUCCGGACCAUCUGCUAAGGUCCCGAAAUGACAGCUCAGUUGACUUAAACGAGGUCACGAUGCAUAGACAGCUAGGAUGUUGGCUUGGAAGCAGCCAUUCAUUUAAAGAGUGCGUAACAGCUCACUAGUCGAGGAUUGUGGCAUGGAUAAUAAUCGGGCAUAAGUUGUCUACCGAAGCAGUGGAAUCAUUUAUGAUUGGUAGGGGAGCAUUCCAGCGUGGUUGAAGAUAGAUCGACGAGGUCUGUUGGACAUUCUGGAAGUGCAAAUGUAGGUAUAAGUAACGAUAAAGGGAGUGAGAAUCUCCCUCGCCGAAAGACUAAGGUUUCCUCCUCACCGUUCGUCGGAGGAGGGUUAGUCGGGACCUAAGGGUAAUCCGUUUGGUGAUCUCGAUGGAAGAAAGGGUUAAUAUUCCCUUACUCGGUAUGUUAAGUGAUGUGGAGACGGAGAAGUGACAGUCCUGCCUACUGUUGGAAUAGUAGGUUAAAGGGUGUAGAUGUUGAUCUUGGUAGGCAAAUCCGCCGAGAGAGUCGAACCUGAUAGUAUGUGAAUCCUUCGGGUGCAGCAAUAUGGACGUAAGCAGGCUCCCAAGAAAAUCCGCUAAACGUUAAUAGCAUAUCGACCCGUACCACAAACCGACACAGGUAGUUGGGUUGAGUAUACUAAGGCGCUCGAGUUAGCCGCGGUUAAGGAACUAGGCAAAUUGGUCCUGUAACUUCGGGAUAAAGGACGCCGUUGUGGCGACACAACGGCCGCAGAGAAUAGGCCCACGCGACUGUUUAUCAAAAACAUAUGGCUAUGCGAAUUAGAAAUAAGAAGUAUAUAGCCUGACACCUGCCCGGUGCUGGAAGGUUAAGAGGAGAGGUCAAACGUAAGUUGAAGCCUUGAAUUGAAGCCCCAGUAAACGGCGGCCGUAACUAUAACGGUCCUAAGGUAGCGAAAUUCCUUGUCGGGUAAGUUCCGACCUGCACGAAUGGUGUAA
This 1787-nucleotide ribosomal RNA is filed under the name human gut metagenome. RNAcentral's name for it is "bacterial LSU rRNA". It matches the Rfam family "Bacterial large subunit ribosomal RNA", at positions 1 to 2004 of the family's 2925-position model. The record is from RNAcentral.